GAUGAACGCUGGCGGCGUGCUUAACACAUGCAAGUCGAACGGAAAGGCUCCUGCUUGCAGGGGUACUCGAGUGGCGAACGGGUGAGUAACACGUGGGUGAUCUGCCCUGCACUUCGGGAUAAGCCUGGGAAACUGGGUCUAAUACCGGAUAGGACCACAUUUUGGAUGGUGUGGUGGAAAGUUUUUCGGUGUGGGAUGAGCUCGCGGCCUAUCAGCUUGUUGGUGGGGUAAUGGCCUACCAAGGCGUCGACGGGUAGCCGGCCUGAGAGGGGGUACGGCCACAUUGGGACUGGAAUACGGCCCAGACUCCUACGGGAGGCAGCAGUGGGGAAUAGUGCGCAAUGGGAGCAAGCCUGAUGCAGCGACGCCGCGUGGGGGAUGACGGCCUUCGGGUUGUAAACUCCUUUCGCUAGGGACGAAGCGAAAGUGACGGUACCUGGAGAAGAAGCACCGGCUAACUACGUG
This 465-nucleotide ribosomal RNA is filed under the name uncultured bacterium. RNAcentral's name for it is "partial 16S ribosomal RNA". It matches the Rfam family "Bacterial small subunit ribosomal RNA", at positions 28 to 507 of the family's 1533-position model. The record is from RNAcentral.